This 700-nucleotide ribosomal RNA is filed under the name Agromyces indicus. Its description in RNAcentral is "bacterial SSU rRNA". It matches the Rfam family "Bacterial small subunit ribosomal RNA", at positions 112 to 819 of the family's 1533-position model. The record is from RNAcentral. Lineage: Bacteria; Bacillati; Actinomycetota; Actinomycetes; Micrococcales; Microbacteriaceae.
AACACGUGAGUAACCUGCCCUGGACUCUGGGAUAACCCCGAGAAAUCGGAGCUAAUACCGGAUAGGACCUUUCCUCGCAUGGGGUUUGGUGGAAAGUUUUUCGGUUUGGGAUGGACUCGCGGCCUAUCAGCUUGUUGGUGAGGUAAUGGCUCACCAAGGCGUCGACGGGUAGCCGGCCUGAGAGGGUGACCGGCCACACUGGGACUGAGACACGGCCCAGACUCCUACGGGAGGCAGCAGUGGGGAAUAUUGCACAAUGGGCGCAAGCCUGAUGCAGCAACGCCGCGUGCGGGAUGACGGCCUUCGGGUUGUAAACCGCUUUUAGUAAGGAAGAAGGGGAGCUUGCUCCUUGACGGUACUUGCAGAAAAAGGACCGGCUAACUACGUGCCAGCAGCCGCGGUAAUACGUAGGGUCCGAGCGUUGUCCGGAAUUAUUGGGCGUAAAGAGCUCGUAGGCGGUUUGUCGCGUCUGCUGUGAAAUCUAGAGGCUCAACCUCUAGCCUGCAGUGGGUACGGGCAGACUUGAGUGGUGUAGGGGAGACUGGAAUUCCUGGUGUAGCGGUGGAAUGCGCAGAUAUCAGGAGGAACACCGAUGGCGAAGGCAGGUCUCUGGGCACUUACUGACGCUGAGGAGCGAAAGCGUGGGGAGCGAACAGGAUUAGAUACCCUGGUAGUCCACGCCGUAAACGUUGGGCGCUAG